This 444-nucleotide ribosomal RNA is filed under the name uncultured bacterium. RNAcentral describes it as "bacterial SSU rRNA". It matches the Rfam family "Bacterial small subunit ribosomal RNA", at positions 30 to 478 of the family's 1533-position model. The record is from RNAcentral.
AUUGAACGCUGGCGGCAUGCCUUACACAUGCAAGUCGAACGGUAACAGGUCUUCGGAUGCUGACGAGUGGCGAACGGGUGAGUAAUACAUCGGAACGUGCCCGAUCGUGGGGGAUAACGCAGCGAAAGCUGUGCUAAUACCGCAUACGAUCUACGGAUGAAAUCGGGGGAUCGCAAGACCUCGCGCGGACGGAGCGGCCGAUGGCAGAUUAGGUAGUUGGUGGGAUAAAAGCUUACCAAGCCGACGAUCUGUAGCUGGUCUGAGAGGACGACCAGCCACACUGGGACUGAGACACGGCCCAGACUCCUACGGGAGGCAGCAGUGGGGAAUUUUGGACAAUGGGCGCAAGCCUGAUCCAGCCAUGCCGCGUGCAGGAUGAAGGCCUCGGUGUAACGUAGCUUUUGUUACGGUAACGAAAAAGGACUACUCUCUAAUACAGGGUGG